AGUGAACGCUGGCGGUAGGCCUAACACAUGCAGGUCGAACGGCAGCACAGUAAGAGCUUGCUCUUACGGGUGGCGAGUGGCGGACGGGUGAGGAAUACAUCGGAAUCUACUUUUUCGUGGGGGAUAACGUAGGGAAACUUACGCUAAUACCGCAUACGACCUACGGGUGAAAGCAGGGGAUCUUCGGACCUUGCGCGAUUGAAUGAGCCGAUGUCGGAUUAGCUAGUUGGCGGGGUAAAGGCCCACCAAGGCGACGAUCCGUAGCUGGUCUGAGAGGAUGAUCAGCCACAUUGGAACUGAGACACGGUCCAGACUCCUACGGGAGGCAGCAGUGGGGAAUAUUGGACAAUGGGCGCAAGCCUGAUCCAGCCAUACCGCGUGGGUGAAGAAGGCCUUCGGGUUGUAAAGCCCUUUUGUUGGGAAAGAAAAGCAGCAGGUUAAUACCCCGCUGUUCUGACGGUACCCAAAGAAUAAGCACCGGCUAACCUCGUG
This 492-nucleotide ribosomal RNA is filed under the name uncultured bacterium. Its description in RNAcentral is "partial 16S ribosomal RNA". It matches the Rfam family "Bacterial small subunit ribosomal RNA", at positions 29 to 507 of the family's 1533-position model. The record is from RNAcentral.